This 587-nucleotide ribosomal RNA is filed under the name uncultured bacterium. Its description in RNAcentral is "bacterial SSU rRNA". It matches the Rfam family "Bacterial small subunit ribosomal RNA", at positions 338 to 916 of the family's 1533-position model. The record is from RNAcentral.
CCUACGGGAGGCAGCAGUGGGGAAUAUUGCGCAAUGGGGGAAACCCUGACGCAGCAACGCCGCGUGAGUGAGGAAGGACUUCGGUCUGUAAAGCUCUGUUAAUGUGGAAAAAUGGUAGUUGGUCUAAUAGGCCGAUUAUUUGAUGGUACACAUAGAGGAAGCACCGGCUAACUUCGUGCCAGCAGCCGCGGUAAUACGAAGGGUGCAAGCGUUGUUCGGAUUUAUUGGGCGUAAAGCGCGCGUAGGCGGACCUGUAAGUCAGAUGUGAAAUCUCGGGGCUCGAACCUCGAAACUGCGUCUGAAACUGCAGGUCUAGAAUCUCGGAGGGGGAAGGGGAAUUUCGCAUGUAGGGGUAAAAUCCGUAGACAUGCGAAGGAACACCAGAGGCGAAGGCGCCUUCCUGGACGAGUAUUGACGCUGAGGCGCGAAAGCGUGGGGAUCAAACAGGAUUAGAUACCCUGGUAAGUCCACGCUGUAAACUAUGAACACUAGGUAUUGGAGGAUUUGACCCCUUCAGUGCCGUAGCUAACGCGUUAAGUGUUCCGCCUGGGAAUACGGUCGCAGACUAAAACUUAAUGAAUUGACGG